RNAcentral lists this ribosomal RNA (1059 nucleotides) under Bacillus cereus. Its description in RNAcentral is "bacterial SSU rRNA". It matches the Rfam family "Bacterial small subunit ribosomal RNA", at positions 62 to 1081 of the family's 1533-position model. The record is from RNAcentral. Lineage: Bacteria; Bacillati; Bacillota; Bacilli; Caryophanales; Bacillaceae.
UCGAGCGAAUGGAUUAAGAGCUUGCUCUUAUGAAGUUAGCGGCGGACGGGUGAGUAACACGUGGGUAAUCUGCCCAUAAGACUGGGAUAACUCCGGGAAACCGGGGCUAAUACCGGAUAACAUUUUGAACCGCAGGGUUCGAAUUUGAAAGGGGGCUUCCGCUGUCACUUAUGGAUGGACCCGCGUCGCAUUAUAUAGUUGGUGAGGUAACGGCUCACCAAGGCAACAAUGCAUAGCCAACCUGAAAGGGUGAUCGGCCACACUGGGACUGAAACACGGCCCAGACUCCUACGGGAGGCAGCAGUAGGGAAUCUUCCCCAAUGGACAAAAGUCGGACGGAGCAUCCCCGCGGGAUUGAUAAAGGCUUUCGGUUCUAAAAACUCUGUUGUUAAGAAAAAACAAGUGCUAAUUGAAUAAUCUGGCCCCUUGACGGUACCUAACCAAAAAGCCACGGCUAACUACGUGGCCAACACCCGCGGUAAUACAUAUGUGGCAAGCGUUAUCCAGAAUUAUUGGGCGUAAAGCGCGCGCAGGUGGUUUCUUAUCUCUGAUGUGAAACCCCACGGCUCACCCGUGGAGGGUCAUUGAAAACUGGGAGACUUGAGUGCAAAAGAGGAAAGUGGAAUUCCAUGUGUAGCGGUGGAUGUGCAUAUAUAUGUGGAAGAACACCAGUGGCGAAGGCGACACUUUCUGCUCUGUAUGUGACACUGAGGCUCGAAAGCGUGGGGAGCAAACAGGAUUAGAUACCCUGGUAGUCCACGCCGUACAACGAUGAGUGCUAAGUGUUAGAGGGUUUGCCGCGCUUUAGUGCUGCAGUUAAACGCAUUAAGCACUCCGCCUGGGGAGUACCGGCCGCAAGUGCUGAAACUCAGAAGGAAUUGACGGGAGGCCGCGCACAAGCUGGUGGAGCAUGUGGUAUUAAUUCGAAGCAACGCAGAAGAACUCUUCACCAGGUCUUGACAUCCUCCUGAUCCACCCUAGAGAUAGGGCUUUUCCUUCGGGAACAGAGUGACAGGUGGUGCAUGGUUGUCGUCAGCUCGUGUCGUGAGAUGUUGGGUU